GACGAACGCUGGCGGCGUGCUUAACACAUGCAAGUCGAACGGAAAGGCCCUGCUUUUGUGGGGUGCUCGAGUGGCGAACGGGUGAGUAACACGUGAGUAACCUGCCCUUGACUUUGGGAUAACUUCAGGAAACUGGGGCUAAUACCGGAUAGGAGCUCCUGCUGCAUGGUGGGGGUUGGAAAGUUUCGGCGGUUGGGGAUGGACUCGCGGCUUAUCAGCUUGUUGGUGGGGUAGUGGCUUACCAAGGCUUUGACGGGUAGCCGGCCUGAGAGGGUGACCGGCCACAUUGGGACUGAGAUACGGCCCAGACUCCUACGGGAGGCGGCAGUGGGGAAUAUUGCACAAUGGGCGGAAGCCUGAUGCAGCAACGCCGCGUGCGGGAUGACGGCCUUCGGGUUGUAAACCGCUUUCGCCUGUGACGAAGCGUGAGUGACGGUAAUGGGUAAAGAAGCACCGGCCAACUACGUG
RNAcentral lists this ribosomal RNA (468 nucleotides) under uncultured bacterium. Its description in RNAcentral is "partial 16S ribosomal RNA". It matches the Rfam family "Bacterial small subunit ribosomal RNA", at positions 28 to 507 of the family's 1533-position model. The record is from RNAcentral.